CAGGGAGACAGGUGGUGCAUGGUUGUCGUCAGCUCGUGUCGUGAGAUGUUGGGUUAAGUCCCGCAACGAGCGCAACCCCUACGUUUAGUUGCUAACGCGUGAAGGCGAGCACUCUAGACGAACUGCCGUUGACAAAACGGAGGAAGGUGGGAUGACGUCAAAUCAUCAUGCCCCUUAUGUUCUGGGCUACACACGUGCUACAAUGGCCGGUACAGACGGACGCAAAGCCGCGAGGUGGAGCAAAUCCUAAAAAGCCGGUCUCAGUUCGGAUUGCAGGCUGCAAUUCGCCUGCAUGAAGUCGGAAUCGCUAGUAAUCGCCAGGUCCAGCAUACUGCGGUCGAAUACGUUCCGGGCCUU
Molecule: ribosomal RNA, 357 nt
Filed under: uncultured Pelotomaculum sp.
Lineage: Bacteria; Bacillati; Bacillota; Clostridia; Eubacteriales; Desulfotomaculaceae
Description: bacterial SSU rRNA
Rfam family: Bacterial small subunit ribosomal RNA
Source: RNAcentral